UGAGGUGAUGACGCCAAGGAUCAAGCUGA
RNAcentral lists this non-coding RNA (29 nucleotides) under Homo sapiens (human). Lineage: Eukaryota; Metazoa; Chordata; Mammalia; Primates; Hominidae. The record is from RNAcentral.